UGAUGGGAAGAUGCGAAGAAUGCGUGAUCAUCAAUUUUCGGGCAGUGGCAGUUGCUUGGGUUCUGCAAAUGCUUUUGCUUGAGAUCCUGACCGAGUUCUUGCGCAACUUGAGUUUUGAGGGACAACUGGGUGUCAUUUUGUAGUGGGUGCCAAGAAUCCUGGUACUAGAGAAGUGGUAGGACCUCACCUUCAUGUUUUAUGCACCGAUGUUUACUGAAGUGGUAGGACCUCACCUUCAUGUAUGAUGCAUUGAUGUUUACUAAAUAGGCUGGAUUUGUUAAACAUAGAAUUAAUAAGAUCAUAUUCUUACUCAAAAAGUUAACUUGUGUUAUGCCUUCUGAUUUACAAACUCACAAAAC
RNAcentral lists this long non-coding RNA (359 nucleotides) under Triticum aestivum (bread wheat). RNAcentral describes it as "long non-coding RNA (TAES_LNC026230)". The record is from RNAcentral. Lineage: Eukaryota; Viridiplantae; Streptophyta; Magnoliopsida; Poales; Poaceae.